UUCGAUCAGCGAGCAGGACAAUUCUCUAGCUCAGAACUCUGCCUGGAGUUGCCCCAGUAAGCAGUAAGCAGGUACUUCCCUUGUCCCAUUACAUACUCGGAUGAGGGCGUGUGAACAUCACACACACACACACACUCGCUUGCGCACACAUUCACGCGCAACACACACUCCCGUGCACACACGCGCGCUCGCACACACACACUGGCAGACACACGCCCAGCACGCGUCGCUCGGGGAGGAGAUAGGAGCGCGGCACGGGAGGGAGCCCGGGGUCCCCGGCGCAUCCUGGCUCCGGUUGACAGACGCUGGUGCCGGAGAAGGUGCGCCAGACGCGCCUCCGGCCAGGACGAUCCCGCGGACUCUGCUCACCUUAAUGUUGCCGAAGACCGAGCGGGCACAGCGGCCGGCUCGGCUAGAAGAGGCGUCGCUGCCCUGGGGCUCGCCAAGCUUGGAUUUUUUACCACCAGGAUUCCAGGAGAAGAGACAGUGAGGCUUCUCAAGGGAAGGAUUAAAAGGUUUUCCUAAAGCCGCUGCAGUGAGGAAUCCAGCUCUGGAGGCGUUUUUCCAGCUCCCUCAUUCCUGUCGUCCUGUGUGGAGGGAACCUCUCCAAGCCCACCCCAAAUUCAGGAAAAGAUGCCAUCAAUUCCCAGGAGGCUUUGGCCAAGAUAAAGUCCAAAGGAUAGAUGGACCACAUGGGCUUCUUAUUUCUACCCAAGACCUGAUAACCUUUCUGGGCCUGGUCUGGCCUGGGUCUGGGAGAUUUUUCUCCACCUGCAACCCAAGGUCCCUGGACACAGCAGCAUUCCAAAGCUGCUGAACAGUGGGCAGCCUCUGGCCGCUUCACUCAGCCACAGAGCGCAGUGCAUUCAGACAGGCUUCCCACAGCCCGGCAGCAGCCCUAACCCCAGCCUCCGGUCAGGCAUGAACUCCCGGUCCCAUCUGUCCACUGGGAGAACAUGGAACGCAAGGACAAAUACCAGCAUGGAGCACUUGGUAUGUGCUGGGCGUUCCAGGCCCUCUGCUGAGCACCCACAUGCAUGAUUUCAUGAAGCCCCAACAUUAGCCCUACAGGUCUAGAUGCUGUUACACUCUGGACUCCACAGAGAAGGAUGCUAGAGCGGUCUGCUGAAAAAGCUGUCUGGAAGCCACAUAGCUAGCAAGUGGUGGAGCUGGACCCUGAAUUCAGCCUUGCCUCACUCCAAAGCCCAGGCUGGAAGUACUGUGCCUUCUGAUCAGUUGCCUGGUCCAACAGCCCCAUUUUGCAAGUUGAACCAAACAGGGACCAGAAAACCCCCAGGCCAAGGUUACAGGCACCUUAGGGCUACCAAAGCUGGAGCUUCUUUCUCAAACCCUGAGGCCAAACUAUGAUCCUCUGGUAGAAACCCUGUGAGGAUCAGCCUCUCCAACCCUCACCUAGUCCUGUUCCAUUAACCUGGCCCUCUGCCUCCCAUCAGUGCCAGCAUCAUCUCCAAAGGAAAAGCCUAUUCAGAAAUGUUUCAUUGACCUUUACUGGGUGGAGUUCAGCUAAAUGUAAUGAAGAGCCAACCAAAAUGACUUAAAUGAGAUUUAUUGGUCUCUCAUAAUAAGAAGGCUGAUAGUAGGUAGUCCAGGGGUCAGGACUCAGCCUUUCAAGAUUCCUUAGCCUGUGGUUCCCAACCCCAUGACUGGCUCAUUGUCACAAGAUGGCUGCUCCAUCUCCAGCCUCCUCUCCUAAUUCCAGGAAAGAUGCCGAAGACAGGAAACAGGAAGGAGCCAUACUUACAUCAAGGGAGCACAUCUCUCCCUUGCAUGCACAGCUGGUUUUCCUUAAGUCUUCUUGGCCAAAUAUGGGUCACAUAAGUACCCCCUGCAAAGGAUGCUAAGAAGUAUAGUUAACACUAUUGCUGUCCUCUGAACACAACUGGGAUUUUAUUAGGGAAAAGGGCAAAAAUAAUAUUGUGUUUUACAUUUUCAACACUUACAAAUGAAGUAACCCAUUUCCUUUCAAGAGCAUCCCCAGACUUUCCAUCCUUAAAUUUCAGCAAAUAUUUCCUAGUUCUGAAAAAAUACAAAAAAAAAAAAAAAAAAAGGCUGGACAUGAUGGCUCAUGCCUCUAAUCCCAGCCCUUUGGGAGGCUGAGGUAGGCGGAUCACUUGAGGUCAGAAGUUCGAGACCAACCUGGCCAGCAUGGUGAAACCCUGUCUCUACUAAAAAUAAAAAAUUAGCCAGGCGUGGUAGCAUGCGUCUUUAGUCCCAGUUACUUGGGAGGCUGAGGCAGGAGAAUUGCUUGAACCUGGGAGGCAGAGGCUGCAGUGAGCCAAGAUCCUGCAUUCCAGCCUGGACAACAGAGUGAGACUCUGUCUCAAAAAAAAAAAAAAAAAAAAAGCGAAACCACAAGAACAUCUAGUCUCAAAGACCCUAUGCUGUCGGGGUGGGAAACAAGAAGAGAAAGCAUGGCUGUGAUGUAGGAAGAAAGCCACUGAGCACUGUGAUGUAGGAAGAAAGCCACUGAGCACUGUGAUGUAGGAAGAAAGCCACUGAGCACUGUGAUGUAGGAAGAAAGCCACUGAGCACUGUGAUGUAGGAAGAAAGCCACUGAGCACUGUGAUGUAGGAAGAAAGCCACUGAGCACUGUGAUGUAGGAAGAAAGCCACUGAGCACUGUGAUGUAGGAAGAAAGCCACUGAGCACUGUGAUGUAGGAAGAAAGCCACUGAGCACUGUGAUGUAGGAAGAAAGCCACUGAGCACUGUGAUGUAGGAAGAAAGCUACUCAGGUGCUAUGGGAGCAUGAAUAUGGGGCCCUAAUUCACCUUGGACAGCAGGAAGACUUCCUGGAGGAGGUGACUGUCAAGCUGAGCCUUAAGAAUUAGUAGGAUUGAGAGGAUUAGGGUAAAGAGGGUAAACCUAGUUCACAGUUCCAGUCUGUUUAGUUUCAUUCUGGCUGGCGCUCAAGACCAAGCACAGUGGGUAUGUGUGAAGCAAAGAGCCUAGGACUUUAGGCUUUCUACCCUGCACAGUGGGGGAGCUGUUAAAGGCUUCUGAACAAGGGUAACCUGGGCUAAUUUGUAUUUUGCAUGGACCUCUCUAGCAGCCAGGGUGGAAGGAAUCCCAGGAGCUAUGAUAAAGGCCUGCAUGGCAGCAGUGGGAUGGUGGUAGGAAGGAGAGAAAAGCUCAAAGAAUGUCAAAGGGAGGUGGCACCCACAUGUCAGUGUGGAGAGAUGUUAGUGAUGACUCCCAGGAUCUGACUUGGGCAACUAGCACUGGUGAUGCCCACUCCUGACAGAGGGGCCCAGAAGGAGCAGCCACUACUGUAGGAAGCCAGUGAGUCUCCUAGUCACAUUUUGAAUUCAAAUUUCCCAGACUACACCCAAGUAAAGCUGUUCAGGAGGCAGAUGGCUCUAUGGGUCCAGCACUCAGGGUGGACACUGGGUUAGAGAUAACAGGCUUGGAAAUCCCACGUGGAGGUGGUGGUUAAGCCUCAAGAAUGGAUGAGUCUCCUAGGGAGACUAUUGAAGAGAAGUAGGUCCAGGAUGGGCCGCAGCAAGAUCGGGGGUGGCCCAAGGGAUGGGGCCAGAGUGGAGGAAAGUAAACCAGGGGAGGAGGUGUUGAUAGAGCUGAGGGUACUCUUUCUUUUCUUCUUUUUUUUUUUUUUGAGAUGAAGUCUUGCUUUGUCACCAGGCUGGAGUGUAGUGGCACGAUAUCAGAUCACUCCAACUUCCAUCUUCUGGGUUCAAGCGAUUCCCCGGCCUCAGCCUCCUGAGUAGCUGGGACUACACAUGUGUGCCACCACGCCCGGCUAAUUUUUGUAUUUUGGUAGAGACGGGGUUUCACCAUAGUCAGCAUGGUCUCGAUCUCCUGACCUCAUGAUCCGCCCACCUCGGCCUCUCAAAGUGCUGGGAUUACAGGCGUGAGCCACUGCACCCUGCCGACGCUGAGGGUACUCUUUCUAAAGGGAGGAGGGCAGGACGAUGGCCAGGCUGCUGAGGAGGCGAGAGAAGGCCUGAGGAGUGGCCACCAGGCUGGCAAUGCUGGCAUUGAGGAACUUGGCAAGAGUGACUGCAGUGGGUGUUACGGGCAGGAGGAACUGGAAAGGAGAAAGUACAAGUAGAAACCAUCAACAACUUUCCCAAGGUUGCAGAGGGAAGGAGAAAGACAGGGAGCAGCUGAGCAGCUCCGGGCUCGCCUCUCUGCCUCAAUUGUCUCCAGCUGUCUUGGGCCUCCUGCUGGGGCAGCUGCAAAUUCAUUCCCACCUCUGGGCUUUUGCUCAUGCUGUUCCGCUGCCUGCACUGCCUGCCUCACAAUGCUUGACUUCUACUCCUCAAGGAGUGGCUCAUGUUGUCAUUGCCUGUUCUGGCCCCAUAACAACAGUAGAGUCAUGUCUUGCUGUGGUACAGUCCUGGAACGCACAGACCUGGUAGUCAGACAAAGUUGCUGACUACCUUUGAUACUUUGCUUAACCCACUGGAUCUGCGGUGCCUUCUCUUCAUGAUGAGCUGUUACGACGUGCACAUGAGAUGAUGCAUGGAGUGCCUGGAGCAGAGUAAGGUCUCAGUGCUGGGAAGCUGCCGUUGCUGUGGGGGCUGGUGGUACUGAUGUUAGUAAGCUGCACUCUAGGUCUCUUCCUCCAACUCAGCGGUGAGCUCUUCGAGGGUAAAGGUUCUGUGUCAAUUCUCUUUAUAUCCCCAUUUGACCUAACAUAUUCCAUUGCUCAAAAAUGUUUAUUAAGUGCUAUUAAGCAGAAAUGAAUUCUAAAAUGGCCCUCAUGACUAGAAAAGGCCUCGUUGGUCCUAAACCUCCAUGCCAUUGUUCUCUCUGCCCGAACCCCACUCCUUCUGCCCCAACCCCACUCCUUCUGCCCCCUGGGGGCCUCUGCUUGUCUCUGGGUCUCAUCCUUGUCUCUUCUCACUGGUGGCUGGCUGUGAAUUUGGUGAGCCACACUGCCUACUCCUGUAGCAGCUGAUGAAGCUUCCUUGACAAUCUAGAUACCCAAGUGUGACCAUGGAUUAACUCUCAACAGUGACUGCCUCUCCUGCGUCCGAGGGCAUGUUUGCCGCAAGUACUCCACUGCUUUGUCCCUGUCACUGGUGGGGCAGUCUAUUUCUCUGCAAGUCACUCUGAUCACUAUUGUAAUUUUUAUUAACAGUGACAACAGUCUGUGCCUGGUGCCUGGUUCUAGUACAAGUUUGAUUCUUCUUCUUUUUAUUUUUUUUGAGACAGAGUCUUGCUCUGUUGCCCAGGCUGGAGUGUAGUCUCUGCUCACUGCAACCUCUGCCUCCUGGGUUCAAGUGUUUUUCCUGCUUCAGCUUCCUGAGUAGCUGGGAUUACAGGUGCCUGCCACCACACGCAGCUAAUUUUUUUGUAUUUUUAGUAGAGACAGGGUUUCACCAUGUUGGCCAGGCUGGACUCAAACUCCUAACCUCAAAUGAUCCACCCACCUCGACCUCCCAAAGUGCUGGGAUUGUAGGUGUGACCCACCACACCCCGCCAAGGUUGAUUCUUUCAAUCCUCAAAACCACCCAAUGAGGGAGGUUAUUUUCAUUUGUUCCAUUUUACAUGAAUCUCAGCAAAUAUUUCCUAGCACUGAGAAAAUACAAAAAUAAAAAAUAAGCCACAAGAACAUCUCCUGACCUCAAAAACUCUACAGUCUCAGGGUGGGAAACAAGAAAAGAAAGGGUAGCUAUCAUGUAGGAAGAACACUGUUGUGCUCAGCUGCUAUGGGAGCAUGGAAGAGGGGCCCUAAUUCACCUUGGGCAGCAGGAAGACUUCCUGGAGGAGGCGAAUAUCAAGCUGGGUCCUAAGAACUAGUGGGUCUGAGAAGAUUAGAAACUGAGGCACAGAAAAGGAAAAUAACUUGGUCAGGCCACAUGUAUAGUAAGUGACGGAGCCAGGAGUAAAACCCAGGCAGCCCAGGUACAGAAUCUAAGCUGCUGGCAAACUGCUCAAAGGGACUGAGCCAUAGCAUGUGGGCAGAUCAGGUCCAGCGCCCACCCACAGCACAACCCUUCAGGGUCAGAAGCCCACGUUAGUACCUCACCUAUCCCUGCCCCUCAGAAAGCCCUCCUUUUCUCUUCCCAGUGAUGCCACCUUAGCAACCCAGGUGACACCCAGCCUGGUGAGUUCUUCCUACAUGAAGGCCUGAGCGCAGGCUGGGGCCACUGGUGGGCCCUCACUAGAUCCAGCCCCAAGAACCUCUUUUCUGCUCCUGCUGACUGCACAUUCCAUUCCUCCUGCAUGGCUUUCCACGGUACCUACUGUGUCCCAUUCUACCUCCCACCCUCUCCUCUCGCUCAGGACCUGAGGCAGACUUUGCCCUCCUGCCCCCUGCCUGAGAAAACGCAGUGUGGCAAGGGAGGGGCACUACAGCACCAGAGUGUCCUCCUGGGACCCUAGCUGCUCUGCAUUUUCCCUGGAGUCCACCCCUCUGGGCACAGCGUCUAGCACAGGAUGGUGGGGUUUCCACCGUCUUCCAUGAAUGAGUUGCUCAAGGCCUAGUCUGGCUGCUCCAGCUCCUGGUCUCACCAAGUGGAAGUCAUCUGAAGCUUUUGCAGGAACAUGAAAAACCCCAACAGGCCUCACUGUGCACCCCUCCCCUGUCCAGUCCCUCAGUAACUUCCUCCCUGGGGUGGGAGCCCCAGUCUGGCCCUGUCUGCACGUCAUCCACCUGGAUUCAGAUCAUACCCUUCCCCCACAGGUGCUUAUCACAGCCCAUGUGCCUGCUUAUCAGCACUGCUGUGUGAUAACCAGCCACUCCUGGGGAGCAGGGAUUCCAUCUCUGCCUCUGGAUUUUGCCAGGAUCACUCCACACAUGUUCAGUGGGCACCUAUAAAGUUCUCAGUCCUGUGCUAGGCCGGGGGCCCAGAGGAUCCUGCCAUUUUGCUGUUGCCAAGCAAAUAGAGAACCAUACUUUGUCUCUGCUCUGAUGCUUGUUUUUAAACUGCUUGCUAAUUUUUAUUUUAUAUUCUUUCAAAAAUAACUGUGUUUUUGACUCUACUGAGGGAGGUAAAAUAUUUGUUUCAUUCACCUAUCAUUCCACAUUGCUAUUUAAAUUUUACUGAAUUUUCUACUUUUUGGAAGUAGAAAAAUUUUCCAAUUUUUCCCGUAAGCACGUUUUUACUGAGCAAAAUCAUGGCAUACUGUUAGUAUCCCACCUUUUACAGUGAGCAUCGAUCCGUGCUGCCAGGAGCUCCUGUUUAUCAUCUCUCUAAUGGCUGCAUGGGCAACCAGGAAUUACUAAGAUACUUAAACCCUCUGCGGGUGUUGAAAGUUGAGGAUGCCUCUACCUUUCCUCCUUUACAGUUAGUGGCUUGAUGGAUAACGUUUUGCAAAUAGUUCUUUGCCUUAGGACUGACUGGCAGUGAUAUCACUACCAAGCCCAGCAGGUUUUAAGACUUCUAGAUAUUUUUCUCUAUGAUAUUCAAACUAAUUCCUCACACUAAUUCAAACCAAUUCCUGCGUUUCUAUCCCUUAGGCCCCUUCUUCCUCACAGUGACACGACUCCUGGCCCCUAUAGAGCAAGGGGAGCCCCCCAAGGAGAAUGGCAUGACAAUACCAGCUGUAGAGCUCCACCCCAUUCCCUCCCCAGACCUUGGGGACUCCUCGGGGCCAUCCUUGUCCUCAGCGGUCCAGGCAAAGCUCUGGAGCUCUGAAAGCCUCAUCCCUUUCACUGCCCCGGCCAACUUGGGGCUCACCCACAGAUGCAGUGGGUGUGGCUGCCUUGAUCUGGCACCCUCACCACCCCCAGUUCUAGAGAAGGAACUCAGCACCCAGGAUUAUAGGCCAGAGACCUUAUGUGGGUGCCUUCCCAGCAAGAGCUGGAUUCCUCACUGGCAUAACUGAAGUGUGAGAUUUUAGGUCCAAAGCCAGGCUGUUCUCUUGAUCUGUCCCAGCACUGCCAGCUUAUUAGCUAUGUGACCUCAGGCAAGUCACCUAACUUCUCUGUGCAGCUUUUAAUUCUCAGAGGUGCUGUGAGGAGUGAAUUAGCCUCACAGCCCUCAAUAAUGGCCACAAUUAUUACUAUUGUAUUUUUCUUCUUAAUUUAGCAGUGCUUCCCUUAUGGUCCCCUGUUCUUCCCCCGGUCAUUCCCCACUUUUCUCUAUAGAAGGCUCAGCUUUCUCUGGGGCCUGGGUGGCUCUACAGCUAGUAUAGUAUUUACAGCUCGUGGGAAGAGCCUCGGGACACUGCCUCCCCUCUUCUCCCUGAAACUUUCUCUCUAUGUGCAUCUAUGCCAGCCCUGGAACUCUGUCCCUCUUCCUUGGGAGCCCAAACCCUGGGCUGCAGCAGGACACACACACGCAUGCACAUACCCACACAGGCACACACAGGGACACACACACAUAUACACACAGGUACACACAUGCACAUGCACACAUACACACGUGCAUACAGACACAUACACACAGGCACACACACGCACAUGCACAUACAUGUGCACACACAGGCACACACGCACACAUGCACAGAUGCACCCAGGCACACAUACAUACACACACGCACAUGCACACACAGGCACACACACACUCUUGGCAGGCAGGUUUCCUUAAUCCUGUCUUGGCAUUUCCUGUUAGAAGCGCUCUCCUUGUGUCUUCACUUUGCUUAUAACAGAGCCAGCUCAUGAAAGCCCUCAAGAGGAGAUUCCCUGUGCAUCCUUAUUUGUUUUCUGGAGUCCCACAAUGUCUGCGUCACUUGUAUAACCACUCUGGGGCUCGUGUACCCUGCCCUGGGUCCUGCCUCUGGUCUGGGCCCACGCGCUCCCACCUGCCCUGGACUCACUUUUGAGAGGGAUCUCUUUUCUCCUCAGUCUUGCUUCUUGGGCCCCCUUCUCUCCUCUGUCUUUAUUUGCCCAGGUCUGUGGCUUCCUCGUUUAUUGAAAGGCCCCAGGCUCCCUAUUUCCUGCCUUCCUACACCUCAGCCCCUGUCCACACAGCCCAAGAAAUACGUAUCGAGCCCUGUUUUUCUCUCACCUGGAAAAGGGGUGCACCCUGCAUUGCUGUGCACACGCCCUCUCUGCACUGUUUGGACUGACCCAUAUCAGGUAGAUUGUGAGCCUUCAGGGCAGGGACCAAGUACAAACACAAGUGCAGAUAGCAGGAUGCCACUGCCGGAGACACAGCAGGGCUGAUCUGUCAGAAGAGCCUGCCUCUCCCACCACUCCUGCAUGAGGGGUGAUGGGAGACACACGUAGGGCAUACCUGAUUUUCCAAUUGAACAAAGUGGGGGCCCAGGGAACUGAGGGUGGACAGCGGCUCCUGGGUCCUGGACCACAGCCUCUCCCUGUGCUUGGCCCCUGCCCCAGGCCAGCCUGGCUCUCCCAGUUCUGCCUUCUCUGCUGUAAACAUCAAGGCAAUAAAAGCUCAGUGAGACCCUUUACCUGGGCCCUGGUCUGCAACACACCCUGGACCCAGUAUGGUGCUCUGAGUCACCUGGUGAAGUCACUAGAAGUCAGGCCUCCUCCCUCUUCCUGGUCACAGGGAGGGAGUGCCUGGAGGUGUGGCGCCGUUGCAGGGCAUUCAGGAAGAGAAUGCUCACUGCUUCCCUGUGCAGGCAGCAGGUGAGGAGGCCGAGGAGAAUGACCAGGGAGGACUCUGACCUGAGGACAGCGAGCCCACGGCUCUCUCACACCAGGGUGUGGAGACUAAAUGCACGCAGGAGCUCCUGGCCUCACCAGCUCUGAGCACCUCCCUCCAGCGACAGUAGUAGGAGUGAUGGUCAGCAAGGUAGAAUCUGCUGUUGAUCCCUCCCCAAAUCUGUCCCUCUUCUGCUGAAAGUUCCCCCACCUUCCUUUGGGGUCCCAGCCCUCCCCACUCUCAGGUUCUGAGGCCCAGGCAAGCUAUGCCUACUGGGGCAGGAGGGCAUUGCUCCUUGGGCCCCCUGCGGGAGCAACCAGGACAGUGUGGUCUCUCCCAGGGCCAGGGUCAAGGCAGAGGGCCACCUCCCUCAGUGUCAAGGUCUAGGGAGCCCUGGAGAGAAUCUGCCCCAGGAUGUGGCCACGGAGAGCAGCAGGAGUGUGGGCCAGAAGUCACCAAGGCCCAUGGCCACAUCCUUCAGGCUCUAGGUCUCAAUGGACCAUUGCAUCUGGUCUUUGCAGUUCUGUGAGCCAAUAAAUUCUUUUUAUAGCUUAAGCUUUGUUGAGCUGGAUUUCCUGUUGCUGGCAUAUGAAGAGUUCUGUUGACUCCAAUAAACCAAGUUUUCAGCAACACCAGGCAAUUCACACAGUGGCCUCAGAGCCAGCAUCUCACUUAACUGUACAGCUCCCUUACAAAGUGAGUCUGGUUGUUGUAAUCUGUGUUUCAAAGAACAGGAACCAAGGUUUGGUGAUUAAGGGCUUCCCGGUCCCUGUGAAAGAUAGUGUGACCUGGAACCCCCACUGUGAGAUGUCCUUGUGACUGGGCACCUGGGACUUAGGAAUACAGACCUUGUUGUCCUGUUGGGUCUCAAGGAGCUAUUGUCUUUGCUGGGAUCAGACCCUGUUGGCUAAGAAGGUACUCAGGGUAGAGGAGAGACCACCCUGCAUGUUGGGGAGAUGGUGAAUCUGCCAUCCCAGUUGACAACACCUUUAGGGGGUUCUUCCCAGUCAAACUCGGCUGUCUAUAAGGUUUUGUGGGGGAGAUUCACACUAAGGGCAAUGGAGAGGACAUUUUCAUCAGAUCAAUGCAAUUGAUAACCCAUAUUUUAAGAUUUCCUUGCUGAUCAGCCACCUUCCAGCACUCCUUUGCUCCUGCUAGCCUUAUGAGCAAAAAUGAUGGUCCAUGGAAUUGCAAUUGGCUAAGUCUCUCAACAAAAAUGACUUAGGAUAAUCUUAAACUUUGUUGGCAAAAAUGGGGACUACUUCAAAAUCCCAAAGGACUUGCCUAUUUGUAUGCACAAUUGGAGCAAAGAAAAUACUGAGCCUCCCAGAGAAAAUGGAAAGGAAGCCUAUUUCUCAGUUGGCCCUUUGAAAGUUCUAAAUGGAAUGCCUCCCUUAGGCACCUCUUGCCCACCUCUGCCUGACUUCUGCACCUUUUUCACCAUCCUGCUCUAUUGUUUAUUCCCUCCUUCUUCUUUCACUCUUCCAGCUGAUUAUCUCGAAAAUGUUCCUAAGUUUUCUCUAGGCUCAUCUGCAUGCUCCUUUGUAAAAUUGUGUGAUAAAUUCCCAUGAUUUAUGUUACCUUUGCAUGCAUUUUAAUCCUCCUUUAGGACACCCAAACACCUUCUUGAGAAAACUUCUCUGUGUACUUGAGAUGUAAACUUGUACCCUGUUCUAUCUAAAAUUUAGUAAGGGCUUUGGCCACGGGGGACAGAUAAAUUUCAGCCUGUUCCAUUUACAGAAACAUGGUUUGAAUCCAACUGUUCUUUUAAACUAGUGAUUUUUUAAAUUAAAGCUGUAAAUUCUUUGUGUCUUUUUGUAUUGUUGUGUAUACAUUUGUAUACAUAUCUGUUUGUAUAUUGUCUAUGGUAUCAAAUUGGUUUAUACAUAAAUGAGUACUCACAAAUUAAGCAAAUAAGGCCAAAUACUUUUCAAGUUCAUGUAACUUAGUAAUCUUUUGGUGGGUGGGAUCAGUCUAAUAUUGUUGGUUUGGUGGGAAUCACUAUGUCUUCUGAGUUAUUAGAAAAAUGUGCAUGUAUUUAACUUUAGGGUUCUACCUUUUAUGAUACUUGACUUGCAUGCAGUCAUGUAAAUUUGGCUGAUGAAAAAUUUAGCCUAAGAUGGUAGCUAGAUUUGUCUAGUGUCUCAUGAAGUUUUCAAAAUAUAAUUGUUAAAACUGAAUGAAUUGAAUGGAUGUAAAUGAAAUAAAAGUUUGUAAGUGAACUGUUGAUAA
Long non-coding RNA from Callithrix jacchus (white-tufted-ear marmoset), 11774 nucleotides. RefSeq lists it as uncharacterized. The record is from RefSeq and is a predicted model, not a curated record. NCBI's taxonomy places the organism in Eukaryota, Metazoa, Chordata, Mammalia, Primates, Cebidae.